GAUGAACGCUGGCGGCGUGCCUAAUACAUGCAAGUCGAGCGAACAGACGAGGAGCUUGCUCCUCUGACGUUAGCGGCGGACGGGUGAGUAACACGUGGAUAACCUACCUAUAAGACUGGGAUAACUUCGGGAAACCGGAGCUAAUACCGGAUAAUAUAUUGAACCGCAUGGUUCAAUAGUGAAAGACGGUUUUGCUGUCACUUAUCGAUGGAUCCGCGCCGCAUUAGCUGGUUGGUAAGGUAACGGCUUACCAAGGCGACGAUGCGUAGCCGACCUGAGAGGGUGAUCGGCCACACUGGAACUGAGACACGGUCCAGACUCCUACGGGAGGCAGCAGUAGGGAAUCUUCCGCAAUGGGCGAAAGCCUGACGGAGCAACGCCGCGUGAGUGAUGAAGGUCUUCGGAUCGUAAAACUCUGUUAUUAGGGAAGAACAAAUGUGUAAGUAACUAUGCACGUCUUGACGGUACCUAAUCAGAAAGCCACGGCUAACUACGUG
Molecule: ribosomal RNA, 497 nt
Filed under: uncultured bacterium
Lineage: Bacteria
Description: partial 16S ribosomal RNA
Rfam family: Bacterial small subunit ribosomal RNA
Source: RNAcentral